RNAcentral lists this ribosomal RNA (467 nucleotides) under uncultured bacterium. Its description in RNAcentral is "partial 16S ribosomal RNA". It matches the Rfam family "Bacterial small subunit ribosomal RNA", at positions 28 to 507 of the family's 1533-position model. The record is from RNAcentral.
GACGAACGCUGGCGGCGUGCUUAACACAUGCAGUCGAACGGAAAGGCCCUGCUUUUGUGGGGUGCUCGAGUGGCGAACGGGUGAGUAACACGUGAGUAACCUGCCCUUGACUUUGGGGUAACUUCAGGAAACUUGGGCUAAUACCGGAUAGGAGCUCCUGCUUCAUGGUGGGGGGUGGAAAGUUUCGGCGGUUGGGGAUGGACUCGCGGCUUAUCAGCUUGUUGGUGGGGUAGUGGCUUACCAAGGCUUUGACGGGUAGCCGGCCUGAGAGGGUGACCGGCCACAUUGGGACUGAGAUACGGCCCAGACUCCUACGGGAGGCAGCAGUGGGGAAUAUUGCACAAUGGGCGGAAGCCUGAUGCAGCAACGCCGCGUGCGGGAUGACGGCCUUCGGGUUGUAAACCGCUUUCGCCUGUGACGAAGCGUGAGUGACGGUAAUGGGUAAAGAAGCACCGGCUAACUACGUG